GACGAACGCUGGCGGCGUGCCUAAUACAUGCAAGUAGAACGCUGAAGGAGGAGCUUGCUCUUCUGGAUGAGUUGCGAACGGGUGAGUAACGCGUAGGUAACCUGCCUGGUAGUGGGGGAUAACUAUUGGAAACGAUAGCUAAUACCGCAUAAUAACAGUUGUUGCAUGACGACUGUUUGAAAGGUGCAAUUGCAUCACUACCAGAUGGACCUGCGUUGUAUUAGCUAGUUGGUGGGGUAACGGCUCACCAAGGCGACGAUACAUAGCCGACCUGAGAGGGUGAUCGGCCACACUGGGACUGAGACACGGCCCAGACUCCUACGGGAGGCAGCAGUAGGGAAUCUUCGGCAAUGGACGAAAGUCUGACCGAGCAACGCCGCGUGAGUGAAGAAGGUUUUCGGAUCGUAAAGCUCUGUUGUAAGAGAAGAACGAGUGUGAGAGUGGAAAGUUCACACUGUGACGGUAUCUUACCAGAAAGGGACGGCUAACUACGUG
This 495-nucleotide ribosomal RNA is filed under the name uncultured bacterium. Its description in RNAcentral is "partial 16S ribosomal RNA". It matches the Rfam family "Bacterial small subunit ribosomal RNA", at positions 28 to 507 of the family's 1533-position model. The record is from RNAcentral.